This 500-nucleotide ribosomal RNA is filed under the name uncultured bacterium. RNAcentral's name for it is "bacterial SSU rRNA". It matches the Rfam family "Bacterial small subunit ribosomal RNA", at positions 1001 to 1501 of the family's 1533-position model. The record is from RNAcentral.
UAGAGAUAGGGCUUUCCCUUCGGGGACAAAGUGACAGGUGGUGCAUGGUUGUCGUCAGCUCGUGUCGUGAGAUGUUGGGUUAAGUCCCGCAACGAGCGCAACCCCUAUUAUUAGUUGCCAGCAUUCAGUUGGGCACUCUAGUGAGACUGCCGGUGAUAAACCGGAGGAAGGUGGGGAUGACGUCAAAUCAUCAUGCCCCUUAUGACCUGGGCUACACACGUGCUACAAUGGAUGGUACAACGAGUCGCAAGGUCGCGAGGCCAAGCUAAUUCUUAAAGCCAUUCUCAGUUCGGAUUGCAGGCUGCAACUCGCCUGCAUGAAGCCGGAAUCGCUAGUAAUCGCGGAUCAGCACGCCGCGGUGAAUACGUUCCCGGGUCUUGUACACACCGCCCGUCACACCACGAGAGUUUGUAACACCCGAAGUCGGUGAGGUAACCCUUUUGGGAGCCAGCCGCCUAAGGUGGGACAGAUAAUUGGGGUGAAGUCGUAACAAGGUAACC